This 587-nucleotide ribosomal RNA is filed under the name uncultured bacterium. RNAcentral's name for it is "bacterial SSU rRNA". It matches the Rfam family "Bacterial small subunit ribosomal RNA", at positions 338 to 916 of the family's 1533-position model. The record is from RNAcentral.
CCUACGGGAGGCAGCAGUAGGGAAUCUUCCGCAAUGGACGAAAGUCUGACGGAGCAACGCCGCGUGAACGAAGAAGGCCUUCGGGUCGUAAAGUUCUGUUGUUAGGGAAGAACAAGUACCAGAGUAACUGCUGGUACCUUGACGGUACCUAACCAGAAAGCCACGGCUAACUACGUGCCAGCAGCCGCGGUAAUACGUAGGUGGCAAGCGUUGUCCGGAAUUAUUGGGCGUAAAGCGCGCGCAGGUGGUUCCUUAAGUCUGAUGUGAAAGCCCCCGGCUCAACCGGGGAGGGUCAUUGGAAACUGGGGAACUUGAGUGCAGAAGAGGAGAGCGGAAUUCCACGUGUAGCGGUGAAAUGCGUAGAGAUGUGGAGGAACACCAGUGGCGAAGGCGGCUCUCUGGUCUGUAACUGACGCUGAGGCGCGAAAGCGUGGGGAGCGAACAGGAUUAGAUACCCUGGUAGUCCACGCCGUAAACGAUGAGUGCUAAGUGUUAGAGGGUUUCCGCCCUUUAGUGCUGCAGCAAACGCAUUAAGCACUCCGCCUGGGGAGUACGGCCGCAAGGCUGAAACUCAAAGGAAUUGACGG